Molecule: ribosomal RNA, 602 nt
Filed under: uncultured Enterococcus sp.
Lineage: Bacteria; Bacillati; Bacillota; Bacilli; Lactobacillales; Enterococcaceae
Description: bacterial LSU rRNA
Rfam family: Bacterial large subunit ribosomal RNA
Source: RNAcentral
GUAGCGGCGAGCGAAACGGGAAAAGCCCAAACCAACAAGCUUGCUUGUUGGGGUUGUAGGACUCCAAUAUGGUAGUCUUUUCAGAUAGUCGAAGGAUUUGGAAAAGUCAGUCAAAGAGGGUAAAAACCCCGUAGACGAAAUUUGGAAGGCACCUAGGAGGAUCCUGAGUACGGCGGAACACGAGGAAUUCCGUCGGAAUCCGGGAGGACCAUCUCCCAAGGCUAAAUACUCUCUAGUGACCGAUAGUGAACCAGUACCGUGAGGGAAAGGUGAAAAGCACCCCGGAAGGGGAGUGAAAUAGAACCUGAAACCGUGUGCCUACAACAAGUUAAAGCCCGUUAAUGGGUGAUAGCGUGCCUUUUGUAGAAUGAACCGGCGAGUUACGAUUAUCUGCGAGGUUAAGUCGAAGAGACGGAGCCGUAGCGAAAGCGAGUCUGAAUAGGGCGAAUGAGUAGGUGGUCGUAGACCCGAAACCAUGUGAUCUACCCAUGUCCAGGUUGAAGGUGCGGUAAAACGCACUGGAGGACCGAACCCACGUACGUUGAAAAGCGCGGGGAUGAGGUGUGGGUAGCGGAGAAAUUCCAAACGAACUUGGAGAUAGC